This 84-nucleotide microRNA precursor is filed under the name Tursiops truncatus (common bottlenose dolphin). RNAcentral's name for it is "miRNA (ENSTTRG00000022114.1)". The record is from RNAcentral. Lineage: Eukaryota; Metazoa; Chordata; Mammalia; Artiodactyla; Delphinidae.
AGCUUGGGGACUGGAGAAAUGACCGCUAUUUUGGUCCAGGGACCCAUUCAGCUCACUGUGAACCGGUCUCUAUUCCCAACUCCU